CUGAAGAUGGGAAACGCAUGAACUGAAGAGACGGUUCCUCGAAUGGGGGAACCUACAAUGUCAUGGCAAAUAUGCAUUGUAAUGAUUCCCCAAGUCCUUUCUCAAGAGACCCAAUUUAUUUGGGUAAUUGUACUUUGAAGAAAGGAGAAUAACCAGACACUUUGAAGAGCAUUAGAGUCAGAAUCUGAGGUGACAUUGAUACCUGGAGAUCCAAGAUGUCCUUACAUUCCCUGGGUUGGAGGUCUUGGUCCCAAAAGAGAAAAUAUCCUUGCCAGGACACUCAGCAAGGGUCCCAUUGAACUAUAAGUUAAGGUGAGCACCAGCAUACUUUGGAGUCCUUGUGUACAGGGAUCAGCAGAUGAAAAGAGGAGUCACCAUAUGGACAAGAGUCAUUGACCUUCGUCAGCAGGAGGAGAUGUCUGGACUAGAGCCUUACUGUAGUGCUCACUGCUGUACUGCCCAUUACUCAUGUGCCUCCCUGCUUGCUGGACUGAGUUUCUAUCUACACUGAUAUCCUACUCAUGGUAUUCACAAAGAGUCACACAUACACACUACUCUUCAUCAUGGUAAAUGAAGCCUCUACCAAAGGAUAUCAAGGAAAAUCAAGAUAUUUCUUAGCACCAAGAAUAUUGCCCUGAUGCACCAAAGUGCCCCAAAACAUUGAGUGGAGAUGGCGCUUUUCCAGUGUUAGUUGCUUGUUGUAUCAGAACAAACCCACCUCACAGAUUCAGAAAUAU
Suricata suricatta (meerkat) is the source of this 737-nucleotide long non-coding RNA. RefSeq lists it as uncharacterized. NCBI's taxonomy places the organism in Eukaryota, Metazoa, Chordata, Mammalia, Carnivora, Herpestidae. The record is from RefSeq and is a predicted model, not a curated record. The transcript is spliced from 3 exons.